RNAcentral lists this ribosomal RNA (492 nucleotides) under uncultured bacterium. RNAcentral's name for it is "partial 16S ribosomal RNA". It matches the Rfam family "Bacterial small subunit ribosomal RNA", at positions 29 to 507 of the family's 1533-position model. The record is from RNAcentral.
AGUGAACGCUGGCGGUAGGCCUAACACAUGCAAGUCGAACGGCAGCACAGUAAGAGCUUGCUCUUACGGGUGGCGAGUGGCGGACGGGUGAGGAAUACAUCGGAAUCUACUUUUUCGUGGGGGAUAACGUAGGGAAACUUACGCUAAUACCGCAUACGACCUACGGGUGAAAGCAGGGGUUCUUCGGACCUUGCGCGAUUGAAUGAGCCGAUGUCGGAUUAGCUAGUUGGCGGGGUAAAGGCCCACCAAGGCGACGAUCCGUAGCUGGUCUGAGAGGAUGAUCAGCCACACUGGAACUGAGACACGGUCCAGACUCCUACGGGAGGCAGCAGUGGGGAAUAUUGGGCAAUGGGCGCAAGCCUGAUCCAGCCAUACCGCGUGGGUGAAGAAGGCCUUCGGGUUGUAAAGCCCUUUUGUUGGGAAAGAAAAGCAGCAGGUUAAUACCCCGCUGUUCUGACGGUACCCAAAGAAUAAGCACCGGCUAACUUCGUG